This 484-nucleotide ribosomal RNA is filed under the name uncultured bacterium. RNAcentral's name for it is "partial 16S ribosomal RNA". It matches the Rfam family "Bacterial small subunit ribosomal RNA", at positions 29 to 507 of the family's 1533-position model. The record is from RNAcentral.
AUUGAACGCUGGCGGCAUGCUUUACACAUGCAAGUCGAACGGCAGCGCGGGCUUCGGCCUGGCGGCGAGUGGCGAACGGGUGAGUAAUACAUCGGAACGUGCCCAGUAGUGGGGGAUAGCUCGGCGAAAGCCGGAUUAAUACCGCAUACGACCUGAGGGUGAAAGCGGGGGAUCUUCGGACCUCGCGCUAUUGGAGCGGCCGAUGGCAGAUUAGCUAGUUGGCGGGGUAAAGGCCUACCAAGGCGACGAUCUGUAGCUGGUCUGAGAGGACGACCAGCCACACUGGGACUGAGACACGGCCCAGACUCCUACGGGAGGCAGCAGUGGGGAAUUUUGGACAAUGGGCGAAAGCCUGAUCCAGCAAUGCCGCGUGUGUGAUGAAGGCCUUCGGGUCGUAAAGCACUUUUGGCGGGAACGAAAAGGACUGUGCCAAUACCACGGUUCGAUGACGGUACCCGCAGAAUAAGCACCGGCUAACUACGUG